This 423-nucleotide ribosomal RNA is filed under the name uncultured bacterium. RNAcentral's name for it is "bacterial SSU rRNA". It matches the Rfam family "Bacterial small subunit ribosomal RNA", at positions 355 to 776 of the family's 1533-position model. RNAcentral also lists the same sequence under 1 other name. The record is from RNAcentral.
UAGGGAAUAUUGGACAAUGGGUGCAAGCCUGAUCCAGCCAUGCCGCGUGCAGGAAGAAAGCCUUCUGGGUUGUAAACUGCUUUUUUCAGGGGAUAAAAUACUCGUGCGCGAGGAAUUGAAAGUACCUGGAGAAUAAGCCACGGCUAACUACGUGCCAGCAGCCGCGGUAAUACGUAGGUGGCAAGCGUUGUCCGGAUUUAUUGGGUUUAAAGGGUGCGUAGGCGGUCAAUUAAGUCAGUGGUGAAAUACGGCAGCUUAACUGUCGAGGUGCCAUUGAUACUGGUUGACUUGAGUACUGAUGAGGUAGGCGGAAUGGACGGUGUAGCGGUGAAAUGCUUAGAGAUCGUCCAGAACACCGAUAGCGAAGGCAGCUUACUAAGGAGUAACUGACGCUGAGGCACGAAAGUGUGGGGAUCAAACAGG